This 497-nucleotide ribosomal RNA is filed under the name uncultured bacterium. RNAcentral describes it as "partial 16S ribosomal RNA". It matches the Rfam family "Bacterial small subunit ribosomal RNA", at positions 28 to 507 of the family's 1533-position model. The record is from RNAcentral.
GAUGAACGCUGGCGGCGUGCCUAAUACAUGCAAGUCGAGCGAACAGACGAGGAGCUUGCUCCUCGGACGUUAGCGGCGGACGGGUGAGUAACACGUGGAUAACCUACCUAUAAGACGGGGAUAACUUCGGGAAACCGGAGCUAAUACCGGAGAAUAUAUUGAACCGCAGGGGGGGAUAGUGAAAGACGGUGGUGCUGGCACGUAUAGAUGGAUCCGCGCCGCAUUAGCUAGUUGGUAAGGUAACGGCUUACCAAGGCAACGAGGCGUAGCCGAGCUGAGAGGGUGAUCGGCCACCCUGGAACUGAGCCACGCUCCAGACUCCUACGGGAGGGCGCAGUAGGGAAUCUUCCGCAAUGGGCGGAAGCCUGACGGAGCAACCCCGCGUGUGUGAUGAAGGUCUUCGGAUCGUAAAGCUCUGUUAUUAGGGAAGAACAAAUGUGUCAGUAACUAUGCACGUCUUGACGGUACCUAAUCAGAAAGCCACGGCUAACUACGUG